This 846-nucleotide ribosomal RNA is filed under the name uncultured bacterium. Its description in RNAcentral is "bacterial SSU rRNA". It matches the Rfam family "Bacterial small subunit ribosomal RNA", at positions 8 to 843 of the family's 1533-position model. The record is from RNAcentral.
AGAGUUUGAUCAUGGCUCAGAUUGAACGCUGGCGGCAGGCUUAACACAUGCAAGUCGAACGGUAACAGGAAGGAAGCUUGCUUUCUUUGCUGACGAGUGGCGGACGGGUGAGUAAUGCUUGGGAAUCUGGCUUAUGGAGGGGGAUAACUACGGGAAACUGUAGCUAAUACCGCGUAAUAUCUUCGGAUUAAAGGGUGGGACCGUAAGGCCACCUGCCAUAAGAUGAGCCCAAGUGGGAUUAGGUAGUUGGUGGGGUAAAGGCCUACCAAGCCGACGAUCUCUAGCUGGUCUGAGAGGAUGACCAGCCACACUGGAACUGAGACACGGUCCAGACUCCUACGGGAGGCAGCAGUGGGGAAUAUUGCACAAUGGGGGGAACCCUGAUGCAGCCAUGCCGCGUGAAUGAAGAAGGCCUUCGGGUUGUAAAGUUCUUUCGGUGAUGAGGAAGGCGGUUGUUUUAAUAGAACAAUCGAUUGACGUUAGUCACAGAAGAAGCACCGGCUAACUCCGUGCCAGCAGCCGCGGUAAUACGGAGGGUGCGAGCGUUAAUCGGAAUGACUGGGCGUAAAGGGCACGCAGGCGGUGACUUAAGUGAGAUGUGAAAGCCCCGGGCUUAACCUGGGAAUUGCAUUUCAUACUGGGUCGCUAGAGUAUUUUAGGGAGGGGUAGAAUUCCACGUGUAGCGGUGAAAUGCGUAGAGAUGUGGAGGAAUACCGAAGGCGAAGGCAGCCCCUUGGGAAUAUACUGACGCUCAUGUGCGAAAGCGUGGGGAGCAAACAGGAUUAGAUACCCUGGUAGUCCACGCUGUAAACGCUGUCGAUUUGGGGAUUGGGCUUUAAGCUUGGU